Long non-coding RNA from Gorilla gorilla gorilla (western lowland gorilla), 1519 nucleotides. RefSeq lists it as uncharacterized. The record is from RefSeq and is marked validated. NCBI's taxonomy places the organism in Eukaryota, Metazoa, Chordata, Mammalia, Primates, Hominidae. The transcript is spliced from 3 exons.
UGGACUUGUAAAAAAAUCACAUUAUGAUCACUUAGCAUUAGGUAACAUUUAAGCAAUUUUGGGCGCCUAACGCUUGAAGGACUGAUGAUUUCAAAUGGACAAUAACUUUGGUUUAAAUUCCAAUAUUUUAUGGAAUUGCAUGGUUUCAAAUUCACCAUAAAGAAAAUGCCUUUUUUGAGCAUCAAUUCAAAGAGCUAUUUAGCAUUAAGGAACCGCAUUAGCUGUACAACUCAUGAUGGUGUUAAUUAGGAAAGGAGCUAGAGAAAAAAAAAAAUCCAUCGCUGAAGCUUUGAUACACUGUUUAAAACUCACUAUUAACCUGACGAACUAUUUUUUUCCGGGGAAGUGCUAAUGACAUGAGCUGGCAAAAUAUUUUACUAGUUCCUUAAUAAUAAAUCAUUUGAGGGAAAAUUGCAACUUGGUAUGGACCUCACCGAGCCCCUCGCCAAUUCAAUCAGGCCCUCCUUUGAUAAUUUAACAACAAAUUCCUGUCUGGAAUCACACAUUCAAGUGCCUUUUUAAAUGAAUCCCAUUUCAAUUUUCUAAUAAAGUACUACCAGUAGAUCUGCAAGUUGAGGAAAGCAGCUCAGGUGACACAUUUGGCACCAAAAAGAAUACUGAGUGGGUCAAAAUCCUGCCUGGGCAGACAAUAGAAGAGGAGACGAAGAAGGUGACUAGACUUAGGGACUUCAAGAAGAGCAAGCACUGAAAACAGCAGUUUACCUACCUCAGACAGUAAGCAACAAGCCUGCAGUCCCCAGAUAAUCGGCCCAGAGGGAGCUGAGAGGAUGGAGUUGGAAAGGGGAACCACAGAGCCCGGGAAGAAGGAGCGACCAGGAUGGAGCGCAAACGAGUGACAGGCAAGGAGCCCAAAGGGACCACACCAAUGCAACAGGUGGUGAUGAAACUCCUGCUCUGGUCAGAGCUACCGGUGAACAGCGUCCAGCGGCCUGGCCCCCAACCUCCCUCCUGACCCUGAACAACCCCCCAACCCCGCCUUGAGAAUUCAGCGAGGAGUAAAAGCUGGAGAAAAUUGCGUGUCUCAGGCUAAGCAGAGCAAAGUGGGGUGACGGCUCCCCCGCUAGGAACAGAGAUGCCCUUAGGGAACCCCCUGAUGGAAGAGCUCCCGGCUUAAGAAGGUCACCACUCCCUUACACUCAGGAAAAGUGGAAAUGAGGCCUCUUACCCCUGGCUUGUUGAGAAGACAGAGGAGAAAAAGCACAUAAAAAUUCAACUUGUCGGGUGCGGUGGCUCACACCUGUAAUCCUGCACUUUGGGAGGCCGAGGCAGGUGGAUAGCUUGAGGCUAGUAGCUCAAGACCAGCCUGGCCAACAUGGCAAAACCCUGUCUCUAUUGAAAAUACAAAAAUUAGACAGGCAUGGUGGUGCACGCCUGUAAUCCCAGCUACUUGGCAGGCUGGGGCACAAGAAUUGCUUGAACCCAGUAAGUGGAAGCUGCAGUCAGUCAAGAUUGCACCACUGCACCCCAGGCUGGGUGACAGAGUGAGACCCUGUCUCAC